UACAGAGGGGGCAAGCGUUAUUCGGAAUUAUUGGGCGUAAAGAGCUCGUAGGCGGUUUGUCGCGUCUGCCGUGAAAGUCCGGGGCUCAACUCCGGAUCUGCGGUGGGUACGGGCAGACUAGAGUGAUGUAGGGGAGACUGGAAUUCCUGGUGUAGCGGUGAAAUGCGCAGAUAUCAGGAGGAACACCGAUGGCGAAGGCAGGUCUCUGGGCAUUAACUGACGCUGAGGAGCGAAAGCAUGGGGAGCAAACGGG
RNAcentral lists this ribosomal RNA (253 nucleotides) under uncultured bacterium. Its description in RNAcentral is "partial 16S ribosomal RNA". It matches the Rfam family "Bacterial small subunit ribosomal RNA", at positions 524 to 776 of the family's 1533-position model. The record is from RNAcentral.